RNAcentral lists this ribosomal RNA (483 nucleotides) under uncultured bacterium. RNAcentral's name for it is "partial 16S ribosomal RNA". It matches the Rfam family "Bacterial small subunit ribosomal RNA", at positions 30 to 506 of the family's 1533-position model. The record is from RNAcentral.
AUUGAACGCUGGCGGCAUGCCUUACACAUGCAAGUCGAGCGGCUGAGCGGAGCUUGCUCCUGCAUUCAGCGGCGGACGGGUGAGUAAUGCCUAGGAAUCUGCCUGGUAGUGGGGGAUAACGUCCGGAAACGCGCGCUAAUACCGCAUACGUCCUGAGGGUGAAAGUGGGGGAUCUUAAGACCUCGCGCUAUCGGAUCAGCCUAGGUCGGAUUAGCUAGUUGGUGGGGUAAAGGCUUACCAAGGCGACGAUCCGUAACUGGUCUGAGAGGAUGAACAGGCACAAUGGGACUGAGACACGGGCCAGACUCCUACGGGAGGCAGCAGGGGGGAAUUUUGGAAAAUGGGGGAAAGCCUGAUCCAGCCAUGCCGCGUGGGGGAAGAAGGCCUUCGGGUUGUAAAGCGCUUUAAGUCGGGAAGAAGUGCAGUAAGUUAAUACCUCGCUGGUUGGAGGUAACGAAAAGAAGAAGAACGGGCAAAUUUCGU